UCAGAACGAACGCUGGCGGCAGGCUUAACACAUGCAAGUCGAGCGCCCCGCAAGGGGAGCGGCAGACGGGUGAGUAACGCGUGGGAACGUACCCUUUACUACGGAAUAACGCAUGGAAACGUGUGCUAAUACCGUAUGUGCCCUUCGGGGGAAAGAUUUAUCGGUAAAGGAUCGGCCCGCGUUGGAUUAGCUAGUUGGUGGGGUAAAGGCCUACCAAGGCGACGAUCCAUAGCUGGUCUGAGAGGAUGAUCAGCCACAUUGGGACUGAGACACGGCCCAAACUCCUACGGGAGGCAGCAGUGGGGAAUAUUGGACAAUGGGCGCAAGCCUGAUCCAGCCAUGCCGCGUGAGUGAUGAAGGCCCUAGGGUUGUAAAGCUCUUUCACCGGUGAAGAUAAUGACGGUAACCGAGAGA
Molecule: ribosomal RNA, 414 nt
Filed under: soil bacterium 9V-01
Lineage: Bacteria
Description: bacterial SSU rRNA
Rfam family: Bacterial small subunit ribosomal RNA
Source: RNAcentral